Molecule: ribosomal RNA, 484 nt
Filed under: uncultured bacterium
Lineage: Bacteria
Description: partial 16S ribosomal RNA
Rfam family: Bacterial small subunit ribosomal RNA
Source: RNAcentral
AUUGAACGCUGGCGGCAGGCCUAACACAUGCAAGUCGAGCGGAUGAAGGGAGCUUGUUCCUGGAUGCAGUGGCGGACGGGUGAGUAAUUCCUACGAAUCUGCCCUGCAGUGGGGGAUAACGUCCGUAAACGGGCGCUAAUAUCGUAUACGUCCUGAUGUUGAAAGUGGGGGUUCUUCGGACCUCGCGCUUUUUGCUGAGCCUAGGUCGGAUUAGCUAGUUGGUGUGGUAAAGGCCUACCAAGGCGACGAUCCGUAACUGGCCUGAGAGGAUGAUCGGUCACACUGGAACUGAGACACGGUCCAGACUCCUACGGGAGGCAGCAGUAGGGAAUAUUGGGCAAUGGGCGAAAGCCUGAUGCAGCCAUGCCGCGUGUGUGAAGAAGGUCUUCGGAUUGUAAAGCACUUUUAGUUGGGAGGAAGGGCUGUGAGUUAAUACCUUGCUGUUUUGACGUUACCAACAGAAUAAGCACCGGCUAACUACGUG